RNAcentral lists this ribosomal RNA (746 nucleotides) under uncultured bacterium. Its description in RNAcentral is "bacterial SSU rRNA". It matches the Rfam family "Bacterial small subunit ribosomal RNA", at positions 8 to 796 of the family's 1533-position model. The record is from RNAcentral.
AGAGUUUGAUCAUGGCUCAGAGCGAACGCUGGCGGCAUGCUUAACACAUGCAAGUCGCACGGGCAGGGCAACCUGUCAGUGGCGGACGGGUGAGUAACGCGUAGGAAUCUAUCUCUGGGUGGGGGACAACCGUGGGAAACUACGGCUAAUACCGCAUGAUACCUGAGGGUCAAAGGCGAAAGUCGCCUGGAGAGGAGCCUGCGUCCGAUUAGCUAGUUGGUGGGGUAAAGGCCUACCAAGGCUCCGAUCGGUAGCUGGUCUGAGAGGAUGAUCAGCCACACUGGGACUGAGACACGGCCCAGACUCCUACGGGAGGCAGCAGUGGGGAAUAUUGGACAAUGGGCGAAAGCCUGAUCCAGCAAUGCCGCGUGGGUGAAGAAGGUCUUCGGAUUGUAAAGCCCUUUCGACGGGGACGAUGAUGACGGUACCCGUAGAAGAAGCCCCGGCUAACUUCGUGCCAGCAGCCGCGGUAAUACGAAGGGGGCUAGCGUUGCUCGGAAUGACUGGGCGUAAAGGGCGCGUAGGCGGUUCGUACAGUUGGAUGUGAAAUUCCUGGGCUCAACCUGGGGGCUGCAUUCAAUACGUACGAGCUUGAGUUCGGAAGAGGGUCGUGGAAUUCCCAGUGUAGAGGUGAAAUUCGUAGAUAUUGGGAAGAACACCGGUGGCGAAGGCGGCGACCUGGUCCGAUACUGACGCUGAGGCGCGAAAGCGUGGGGAGCAAACAGGAUUAGAUACCCCCGUAGUCC